This 507-nucleotide long non-coding RNA is filed under the name Homo sapiens (human). Its description in RNAcentral is "HSALNT0324780". The record is from RNAcentral. Lineage: Eukaryota; Metazoa; Chordata; Mammalia; Primates; Hominidae.
AAGAAGAAGAGGAGGCUUCAUUUUGUAUCAUUUGGAGAGUGAUGAGUUUCAGACAGUGAGUCCUGAAAAUGCCAUGGAAUUCAAGGCUGACUGCAGAUUGUACACUGGACACAGCCUCAAGACAUCUAGGGAAUUCUCAUCCUCAUCUGUGCAAUGUGAACAUUCACAUCAGAAGGUAUCUACAACUAUUAAGUGAGACAAAGUACAGGCAUUUUUCAAGCCUGGCACAAAACAAGAACUUGACAAAUAUUACCUACAAUAAAGAUGUCACUGAACACGUGACUUCUGUCUCCUGAGCACCACGCAGAGCUACAGAGAUGAAAGCAGAAUCCAUUCAAUCCAUAGUUACGGCCUUGGUCUGAGUCAAUCGCCUGCCAUUUUCCAGAGAAAGAAUGAAUGAAGACAACUUUGGAUACAAGAAUACUCGUGACAGUGAUUUUCUCCCAUCAACCAUGCCAGCACUGAGGGGUAUUCUCCGUAUAAUGUGAGGAUAUGCCCUCUCUUUUA